UGCAAGUCGAACGAUGAAGCCCUUCGGGGUGGAUUAGUGGCGAACGGGUGAGUAACACGUGGGCAAUCUGCCCUUCACUCUGGGACAAGCCCUGGAAACGGGGUCUAAUACCGGAUAACACUUCUUCGGGCAUCUGAAGAGGUUAAAAGCUCCGGCGGUGAAGGAUGAGCCCGCGGCCUAUCAGCUUGUUGGUGGGGUAAUGGCCUACCAAGGCGACGACGGGUAGCCGGCCUGAGAGGGCGACCGGCCACACUGGGACUGAGACACGGCCCAGACUCCUACGGGAGGCAGCAGUGGGGAAUAUUGCACAAUGGGCGAAAGCCUGAUGCAGCGACGCCGCGUGAGGGAUGACGGCCUUCGGGUUGUAAACCUCUUUCAGCAGGGAAGAAGCGAAAGUGACGGUACCUGCAGAAGAAGCGCCGGCUAACUACGUGCCAGCAGCCGCGGUAAUACGUAGGGCGCAAGCGUUGUCCGGAAUUAUUGGGCGUAAAGAGCUCGUAGGCGGCUUGUCACGUCGGAUGUGAAAGCCCGGGGCUUAACCCCGGGUCUGCAUUCGAUACGGGCAGGCUAGAGUGUGGUAGGGGAGAUCGGAAUUCCUGGUGUAGCGGUGAAAUGCGCAGAUAUCAGGAGGAACACCGGUGGCGAAGGCGGAUCUCUGGGCCAUUACUGACGCUGAGGAGCGAAAGCGUGGGGAGCGAACAGGAUUAGAUACCCUGGUAGUCCACGCCGUAAACGUUGGGAACUAGGUGUUGGCGACAUUCCACGUCGUCGGUGCCGCAGCUAACGCAUUAAGUUCCCCGCCUGGGGGAGUACGGCCGCAAGGCUAAAACUCAAAG
Molecule: ribosomal RNA, 836 nt
Filed under: Streptomyces sp. LCK-2009.9b
Lineage: Bacteria; Bacillati; Actinomycetota; Actinomycetes; Kitasatosporales; Streptomycetaceae
Description: bacterial SSU rRNA
Rfam family: Bacterial small subunit ribosomal RNA
Source: RNAcentral